This 253-nucleotide ribosomal RNA is filed under the name uncultured bacterium. RNAcentral's name for it is "partial 16S ribosomal RNA". It matches the Rfam family "Bacterial small subunit ribosomal RNA", at positions 524 to 776 of the family's 1533-position model. The record is from RNAcentral.
UACGAAGGGAGCUAGCGUUGUUCGGAAUCACUGGGCGUAAAGCGCACGUAGGCGGAUGUGCCAGUCAGGGGUGAAAUCCCGGAGCUCAACUUCGGAACUGCCUCUGAUACAGCACGUCUUGAGUCCGGAAGAGGUGGGUGGAAUUCCUAGUGUAGAGGUGAAAUUCGUAGAUAUUAGGAAGAACACCGGUGGCGAAGGCGGCCCACUGGUCCGGUACUGACGCUGAGGUGCGAAAGCGUGGGGAGCAAACAGG